This 1402-nucleotide ribosomal RNA is filed under the name uncultured bacterium. Its description in RNAcentral is "16S ribosomal RNA". It matches the Rfam family "Bacterial small subunit ribosomal RNA". The record is from RNAcentral.
AGAGUUUGAUCCUGGCUCAGGAUGAACGCUAGCGGCAGGCUUAACACAUGCAAGUCGAGGGGCAGCGGGGAGGAAGCUUGCUUUCUCCGCCGGCGACCGGCGCACGGGUGAGUAACACGUAUGCAACCUGCCCCUGUCAGGGGGACAACCCGCCGAAAGGCGGGCUAAACCCGCGUACAUGCCACCGGGGCAUCCCGGAGGCAGGAAAGGCUUCGGCCGGACAGGGAUGGGCAUGCGGCGCAUUAGGCAGUAGGCGGGGUAACGGCCCACCUAACCGACGAUGCGUAGGGGUUCUGAGAGGAAGGUCCCCCACACUGGUACUGAGACACGGACCAGACUCCUACGGGAGGCAGCAGUGAGGAAUAUUGGUCAAUGGUCGGGAGACUGAACCAGCCAAGCCGCGUGAGGGAUGAAGGUACAGAGUAUCGUAAACCUCUUUUGUCAGGGAACAAAGGCGGGGACGCGUCCCCGGAUGAGUGUACCUGAAGAAAAAGCAUCGGCUAACUCCGUGCCAGCAGCCGCGGUAAUACGGAGGAUGCGAGCGUUAUCCGGAUUUAUUGGGUUUAAAGGGUGCGCAGGCGGUCUGUUAAGUCAGCGGUCAAAGCCCGGGGCUCAACCCCGGCCCGCCGUUGAAACUGGCAGUCUCGAGUUGGAGAGAAGUAUGCGGAAUGCGCGGUGUAGCGGUGAAAUGCAUAGAUAUCGCGCAGAACUCCGAUUGCGAAGGCAGCAUGCCGGCUCCACACUGACGCUGAGGCACGAAAGCGUGGGUAUCGAACAGGAUUAGAUACCCUGGUAGUCCACGCAGUAAACGAUGAAUGCUGGCUGUCCGGGGGGACUGACCCCUGGGUGGCGAAGCGAAAGCGAUAAGCAUUCCACCUGGGGAGUACGCCGGCAACGGUGAAACUCAAAGGAAUUGACGGGGGCCCGCACAAGCGGAGGAACAUGUGGUUUAAUUCGAUGAUACGCGAGGAACCUUACCCGGGCUCAAACGGGGAGUGACUCAGGCAGAGACGCCUGUUUCCCACGGGACACUCCCCGAGGUGCUGCAUGGUUGUCGUCAGCUCGUGCCGUGAGGUGUCGGCUUAAGUGCCAUAACGAGCGCAACCCCCGCGUGCAGUUGCUAACAGAUAACGCUGAGGACUCUGCACGGACUGCCGGCGCAAGCCGCGAGGAAGGCGGGGAGGACGUCAAAUCAGCACGGCCCUUACGUCCGGGGCGACACACGUGUUACAAUGGGUGGUACAGCGGGAAGCCAGGCGGCGACGCCGAGCGGAACCCGAAAUCCACUCUCAGUUCGGAUCGGAGUCUGCAACCCGACUCCGUGAAGCUGGAUUCGCUAGUAAUCGCGCAUCAGCCAUGGCGCGGUGAAUACGUUCCCGGGCCUUGCACUCACCGCCCGUCA